UGCUUGAAGCCAAGAUAUACCAAAUCAUAUACAAACAAGAUACAUACUAUGAAAUAGAUCACAAAAACAGCCAUAUAUAUAUAUAUAUAUCCACAUCUCCAAUUUCAAAUCCAAAAAACUUAGGUACCUACCAACUACAAUCCAACUUUCUUCCAAUCAAGCAAAACAUAUUUAAAUCAAAACUUAUGAACAACUGCACGAUAUGCACGAAGAAUAUGGUGGGAGCACAAAAGCAUCUGCUACUUGUUUAGCGGACAAUGCUGGCAACUGUUGAGCAAGUUCUGCAGCCACUUCUUGUUUAACGGAGAAUGCGAGCUGCUUCUAGUUUUAUCUGCACAAAUUUGAUAAUAGGUUCUUAUAAGAAUAUGGGUUUAUAUAUGUCUCAUUUUUCAUAAGAUUCAUGAAUAAAUAACAUUAUAUUAAUAUAUAAUAAGGACAGAGAGAGAAAAGAGAAAUGGAACGAUAUCUUCAUCGACGUUUGCUUCAUCAAUCAUGGAACUAACUAGCAAAAUAUUGUAUGCCAGAAAGGGCAGUAAAAUAUGGCAAUUGCAUAAUCCUUAAUAUUGCAUUUAAUUUGCAUUUAAGCCUAAACUAAAAUAAACAUUGAAAUAUUACGAAAAAUAUGCCCACACAAAAUUAAAAAACUAAGGUUUGGAAACAAGCAUAAAACUAAAACACACAGACAAGCAUCAAGAACUAGUCCAAUAAAAAUGUAGGCAAGCCAUAUAUGGUGCAAAUCCGGAGAGUAAUUUUAAAUAGUGUCAACCAAAAAAUGUGUACGGUGUUGGGAAAAAAUAAACCAACCCUGUAGAUGAUAUAAUGAAAACUGGUGCUUUAGCAGCUUGACUAUGAAGCAAUUUUUGCGACUCCGGUACAAAACCUGAUGUCUGCAAACAUGAGAAGCAGGCUUCCUUAUAUUACCAAAUAUAUAUUUACAUGGAAACAACAAAGUAAAAUGUUUACCGAACACGCACUCUGCCUCCAGCAUUAAAAAUUUCAAUUUUCUUCCUGCCAAAAAAUGCAAAUUCAUAAAAAAAUUAUGAGAACCACCUCUGGAUAUAUCAACUUUGGGAAUGAUAUAGGGAUAUAGAGGUUGAAACUUAACACAAGUACGCAAUUGGACUCAACUGAGCAUAAACCAAACCAAACUAUAUUAACAAAUACCAAACCGUUUGAAAGAUCAUAAACCACACUAUAUUAACAAAUAGACUAAUAUAUCCACUAUACCUUUGAGAAACUAUUUGGAGGAAUUCGGAGAAGGCAAUCUUCUAAAGCUCUUACAUACACAGCAUCAGCAAGCAUUACAAAAAACAACAUACAGUUGAGAAGAUAACAAAACCCCUCUUAAAUAAAAAACAAAACCCCUGUUAAAUAAAAAACAGAGUACUUACACACAUCAACAAUUAAUUCAGCAAUAAUUUAAUAGAUUCCAAUACAAAUAAACAUUCAUCUCAAAAAUUGAACAAUAAGUCAGAAAUUCCUAACAUAUAUAUGUACAUAUAUUACAUAUCUAUACACAGAUUACAGCUAGUCUCUUCCGGCUAUAUAUAUCAGUAUCACGCACACACACAUUGCAGGAAGUCCCUCUCUCUCAUAGAAAACAAACCUUUUCAAGCCUCCAAACCUCCAGAUCUGUUCAAAAAUGAAAAAUCAAGAUAAAAAAUGAACCCAAAAUAUAGAGAUAAAACUCAAUCGAAAUAAACAAUGCAUGCAGGUUGAGAAAUUAGGGAUUCUCGAAGUACCGUGGUGCUAAUUGAAAUUAAUUCAAUUUGGGGCCGUUGGAACCCUAAUUGAAAUUGAACAAAGAGAGAUGUGAGAGAUGUGAUCGAGACAUCAGAUAGAUGUAGAGAUGUGAGAGAAGCGGCGGCGGCGGCGGCGGCAGCGAGGCAACGGAGAUGUCGGGAGUGAGGGAGUGAGGUGGGAUGUGUCGGGACUCGGGAGGGAGGGAGAGUGAGGGAAAGUCGGGAGGGAGGGGGAGAGAGGGAAAGAGGGGGCGGGGAAAUGAUUUUG
This 2010-nucleotide long non-coding RNA is filed under the name Daucus carota (carrot). Its description in RNAcentral is "long non-coding RNA (DCAR_LNC003513)". The record is from RNAcentral. Lineage: Eukaryota; Viridiplantae; Streptophyta; Magnoliopsida; Apiales; Apiaceae.